Molecule: ribosomal RNA, 656 nt
Filed under: Bacillus amyloliquefaciens
Lineage: Bacteria; Bacillati; Bacillota; Bacilli; Caryophanales; Bacillaceae
Description: bacterial SSU rRNA
Rfam family: Bacterial small subunit ribosomal RNA
Source: RNAcentral
UCGAGCGGACAGAUGGGAGCUUGCUCCCUGAUGUUAGCGGCGGACGGGUGAGUAACACGUGGGUAACCUGCCUGUAAGACUGGGAUAACUCCGGGAAACCGGGGCUAAUACCGGAUGGUUGUCUGAACCGCAUGGUUCAGACAUAAAAGGUGGCUUCGGCUACCACUUACAGAUGGACCCGCGGCGCAUUAGCUAGUUGGUGAGGUAACGGCUCACCAAGGCGACGAUGCGUAGCCGACCUGAGAGGGUGAUCGGCCACACUGGGACUGAGACACGGCCCAGACUCCUACGGGAGGCAGCAGUAGGGAAUCUUCCGCAAUGGACGAAAGUCUGACGGAGCAACGCCGCGUGAGUGAUGAAGGUUUUCGGAUCGUAAAGCUCUGUUGUUAGGGAAGAACAAGUGCCGUUCAAAUAGGGCGGCACCUUGACGGUACCUAACCAGAAAGCCACGGCUAACUACGUGCCAGCAGCCGCGGUAAUACGUAGGUGGCAAGCGUUGUCCGGAAUUAUUGGGCGUAAAGGGCUCGCAGGCGGUUUCUUAAGUCUGAUGUGAAAGCCCCCGGCUCAACCGGGGAGGGUCAUUGGAAACUGGGGAACUUGAGUGCAGAAGAGGAGAGUGGAAUUCCACGUGUAGCGGUGAAAUGCGUAGAGAUGUG